GCCCGGUUAGCUCAGUCGGUAGAGCACCAGACUCUUAAUCUGGCUGUCGCGGGGUUCAAACCCCCCACUGUCUU
RNAcentral lists this transfer RNA (74 nucleotides) under Haemonchus contortus (barber pole worm). RNAcentral describes it as "tRNA, Lys". It matches the Rfam family "tRNA". From Rfam's summary of the family: Transfer RNA (tRNA) molecules are approximately 80 nucleotides in length. Their secondary structure includes four short double-helical elements and three loops (D, anti-codon, and T loops). Further hydrogen bonds mediate the characteristic L-shaped molecular structure. tRNAs have two regions of fundamental functional importance: the anti-codon, which is responsible for specific mRNA codon recognition, and the 3' end, to which the tRNAs corresponding amino acid is attached (by aminoacyl-tRNA synthetases). tRNAs cope with the degeneracy of the genetic code in two manners: having more than one tRNA (with a specific anti-codon) for a particular amino acid; and 'wobble' base-pairing, i.e. permitting non-standard base-pairing at the 3rd anti-codon position. Lineage: Eukaryota; Metazoa; Nematoda; Chromadorea; Rhabditida; Trichostrongylidae. The record is from RNAcentral.